RNAcentral lists this ribosomal RNA (420 nucleotides) under uncultured Thiobacillus sp. Its description in RNAcentral is "bacterial SSU rRNA". It matches the Rfam family "Bacterial small subunit ribosomal RNA", at positions 957 to 1382 of the family's 1533-position model. The record is from RNAcentral. Lineage: Bacteria; Pseudomonadati; Pseudomonadota; Betaproteobacteria; Nitrosomonadales; Thiobacillaceae.
CAACGCGAAGACCUUACUACCUUGACAUGUCCGGAACUUGCCAGAGAUUGGCUUUGGUAGCCGAAAGGGAAUCGGAACACAGGUGCUGCAUGGCUGUCGUCAGCUCGUGUCGUGAGAUGUUGGGUUAAGUCCCGCAACGAGCCGCAACCCUUAUCAUUAGUUGCUACGCAAGGGCACUCUAAUGAGACUGCCGGUGACAAACCGGAGGAAGUGGGGAUGACGUCAAGUCCUCAUGGCCCUUAUGGGUAGGGCUUCACACGUCAUACAAUGGUCGGUACAGAGGGUUGCCAAGCCGCGAGGCGGAGCCAAUCCCACAAAGCCGAUCGUAGUCCGGAUUGUUCUCUGCAACUCGAGAGCAUGAAGUCGGAAUCGCUAGUAAUCGCAGGUCAGCAUACUGCGGUGAAUACGUUCCCGGGUCUU